AAGACAGAUUACAGCUCUGUGUCCCACCAAACGGAGAGGUGUGCUGCUGCUUGCAUUAAAAGAUAGGGCUCACACAGGCAGAUGUCAGAAGUGAUGGACCUUGCUUCAGCUGGGCGUUCACACUGCUGUGAAAAAUCAUGAGAUUAGCACAGCUACUGAGCUAGAAAGGUGAUUACAUCUUUGCUCACGGAUGCCAUUUCCUGUUCGAGAUUCCUGGCUGAUUUGGUGGCAGCCCUGACAUUCGUGGUGGGCGGACGUAAGGAAGACGCUGUUCCCAUCCUAACAAGCUGUGAUUACUGCCUAUCAUGACAGCCCUAUUCAGUACACCUAUUGUCAAGCCAGCUCAUGUUCCUGCUCUGAAUUGCCCUCUGAAGAGGUCUCUUUUCUUUUUCUCUCCGCUUGCCAUCCUUGUGACCUAAGCAUACAAACUGAAGUCCUGGAGAAGACAGCAGAAAUGUUCCUGGAAAAGGUUUUGUGUCUGCCUGCAGGUCUUGGAGGCAUUUGCUCGUUCCAAGUCCUUACAAGCCGUUACAUGAGGGCUGCAAGCUGCAGGCUGCCUUCCUUCCUCUCUUGCUAAAGGCACCACUGUUAUUUCAGGUAAAGCUUUCCUUCCAUACUCUCUUGCUUUAUUCCAUGUCAGCAGCUGGGUUAAUUUUGAAGGGUUUGAUCUGCAGAGGGGUGAAAGCACACAGCCACACAGCCAGGGAGAUUUCUGAGCGUGGCAAGACAAAGCGAUCUCUUCUUUCUGUAUGCCUUCCUUGGAUUUAUUGUCUGCAUCAGCCAGGCUCCUGGUUCCAGCUGCAAGUUUUUAUUAUUCUGAGAAUAAUCGUUUGGCUAACAGAGACCUCUCCCUGCAGACAGAGGGAAGGAAUAACCCAAAUUGAUACUGCAGGUGGAAGUUUGCUUGAAACUGCUCACAAGACCAAAGAGAAUGCAAAGGGGUUUUAACAGAAGCAUCGACCUUUUUUCCCCUGGUUGGCCUUUCUCUCUCUCUCCCCUCCCUCCACCACCUUGAAAAAAAAGGAAAUGUAAGUGCAGAACUACACAACUGGAGUAAAAGCAGCAUAAAGACAGACCAUCAGGUUUCCUAAAGUGCAGAUUCAAACCCAGUGGCUUAUAGCAUAUUUGGGUCAGAUCCUUUGGGAGAAAUGGAGAAGACACACGAAGGAGGCACCUACAGCAUCCACUUACCCAUCCACUCAUGGGUUGUUGUGUGUCCUGAAAUGGCUGAUUGGCUCCUCACUUACUGAGCUGAAGCAUCAGAAAAGGGGGCCUGAAAAUGGCCCUUUUUCCCCAAUUUCUCACCCAUCAGAUGGGAGUCAUCACCAAUACAGCAGUGGGCACAGGAGAUAGGAAAGGCACCAGUUACUCUGGCGGUCAAGCAAUAUGGGAAAUGAGAACUGUCCUGCAUAUGGAACACUACUUGGUCUUGUUUUUGUUUCUCUAAAUACUUGGUUUUACUGACCAGAUUAAUUCCCUUCUCUGUGCGAGGUUAGCAUUAAUCCAGAGCAGCAGUGCUUCCCUCCACAGUGCACAGCCAGGCUUCUGCCAUUGUCCUGGGGAGCAGAAUACAUGUCCAGAAGGGACAAUGCCUGUCAGCCGCAGCAGCAGGCUGCUCUGCUGGCAAAACCACCCAAAACUUCACUUUUCCAGGAACAGACUAUGGUGUUGAGGUUCCCAGUGCUCAGUCCUGGUUAUUGUUGCUAAUAUGAAAUCUACACUUAACCCACAGGCCCCAGCUGCUCUCCACAAGGCAUCCAGAUGUAUUCCUAAGCUCCAUACACUUCACUUUUCCAAAGUCGCAACUGCAUGACUCAGUGCUGCGCAGCAGUUUUCAUUUCCAAAGUUUUUUGCAAACAUGAGCUGAGUAAGCCUUGCCAGACCCCAUUCUUUGCCAAUUGGAUUGAAGGGGCCUCUGAGGAGAACGGCUGCAGCUCAGCCCAGAGGUGCAAUUUCAUUUUCAAUUGUAUAAGCAUUUGGGGGGAGGUUGAGAGAUGAAGACAGUUGUUGUUCAGUUGCUGCUGAGAUUUUAUACUUAUUUAAUUGCCAUGUCUACUUAUUCAGGAAUGCAACAGGAUCCUAGGUGCUGGUAACAAGCUCCCCUCAGAGCAUGGGACCUCUGGGCCUUAGGGAAGACAAUAAAGGUGCUAUUUAAUGUCUCUUCAGUGUUAAAAUCUGUGACUACAAGAAAGAUGAUACCCUGUUUCUAAAACUGUACUCCCUCAUUCCACCUCUACCCCUAAGGCUGGAGGGAAUUAUAGCAGAGGCUGCAGUUUGCACAGAUCGAAAAUCUUGGCUGCAAUAAAUUUUUAAAAAAAUCAUGUUCUGGUCUCUGAGUCUCUUUGUGCCAUAGGCUUCUACUCUCAUAUUACACCACCUGGAGCCCCUCUUCAUGCUGCACUGGUGGUGGCACCACAUAGACAGAGGGGUG
Molecule: long non-coding RNA, 2431 nt
Organism: Corvus hawaiiensis (hawaiian crow)
Lineage: Eukaryota; Metazoa; Chordata; Aves; Passeriformes; Corvidae
Exons: 3
Source: RefSeq, a predicted model, not a curated record